Pangasius djambal is the source of this 73-nucleotide non-coding RNA. NCBI's taxonomy places the organism in Eukaryota, Metazoa, Chordata, Actinopteri, Siluriformes, Pangasiidae. The record is from the annotation of a GenBank genome assembly.
AAUUAAUUAUCUCAGCCGGUAGCGCAUGAGACUCUUAAUCACAGGGUCGUGGGUUUGAGCCCCACGCUGGGCA